GGCUGGUCCAAAGGCAGUGAGUUAUCUCACUUGAUUGUUCAGAGUCACAGAUUGAACUCCUUGUUCUACUUUUCCCCCUACUCACUAGUGCACUUGAUUAGUCUUAA
Molecule: Y RNA, 107 nt
Filed under: Microcebus murinus (gray mouse lemur)
Lineage: Eukaryota; Metazoa; Chordata; Mammalia; Primates; Cheirogaleidae
Description: Y RNA (ENSMICG00000046589.1)
Rfam family: Y RNA
About the family: Y RNAs are components of the Ro ribonucleoprotein particle (Ro RNP), in association with Ro60 and La proteins. The Y RNAs and Ro60 and La proteins are well conserved, but the function of the Ro RNP is not known.
Source: Rfam by way of RNAcentral